This 426-nucleotide ribosomal RNA is filed under the name uncultured bacterium. Its description in RNAcentral is "partial 16S ribosomal RNA". It matches the Rfam family "Bacterial small subunit ribosomal RNA", at positions 338 to 795 of the family's 1533-position model. The record is from RNAcentral.
CCUACGGGAGGCUGCAGUGGGGAAUAUUGGACAAUGGGCGAAAGCCUGAUCCAGCAAUGCCGCGUGAGUGAUGAAGGCCUAGGGUUGUAAAGCUCUUUUACCCGGGAGACUGUACCGGGAGAAUAAGCCCCGGCUAACUCCGUGCCAGCAGCCGCGGUAAUACGGAGGGGGCUAGCGUUGUUCGGAAUUACUGGGCGUAAAGCGCACGUAGGCGGUUUGUAAGUUAGAGGUGAAAGCCUGGAGCUCAACUCCAGAAUUGCCUUUAAGACUGCAUCUUGAACACGGGAGAGGUAGUGGAAUUCCGAGUGUAGAGGUGAAAUUCGUAGAUAUUCGGAAGAACACCAGUGGCGAAGGCGGCUCACUGGCCUUGUUGACGCUGAGGUGCGAAAGCGUGGGGAGCAAACAGGAUUAGAUACCCUUGUAGUC